GAUCCUGGCUCAGGAUGAACGCUGGCGGCGUGCUUAACACAUGCAAGUCGAACGGAGUUAAACGCCGGAUUGAUACCAGCUUGCUGGAGGAUAUCCUUGUUUAACUUAGUGGCGGACGGGUGAGUAACGCGUGAGUAACCUGCCUCUGAGUGGGGAAUAACGUUCUGAAAAGGACGCUAAUACCGCAUAAUAUACGAAAGCCGCAUGGCUAUUGUAUCAAAGAUUUAUCGCUCAGAGAUGGACUCGCGUCCGAUUAGCCAGUUGGCGGGGUAACGGCCCACCAAAGCGACGAUCGGUAGCCGGACUGAGAGGUUGAACGGCCACAUUGGGACUGAGACACGGCCCAGACUCCUACGGGAGGCAGCAGUGGGGGAUAUUGCGCAAUGGGGGAAACCCUGACGCAGCAACGCCGCGUGGAGGAUGACGGUUUUCGGAUUGUAAACUCCUUUUAUAAGGGACGAACUAAGACGGUACCUUAUGAAUAAGCUCCGGCUAACUACGUGCC
This 505-nucleotide ribosomal RNA is filed under the name uncultured organism. Its description in RNAcentral is "SSU rRNA". It matches the Rfam family "Bacterial small subunit ribosomal RNA", at positions 15 to 509 of the family's 1533-position model. The record is from RNAcentral.